This 344-nucleotide ribosomal RNA is filed under the name uncultured bacterium. RNAcentral's name for it is "bacterial SSU rRNA". It matches the Rfam family "Bacterial small subunit ribosomal RNA", at positions 8 to 334 of the family's 1533-position model. The record is from RNAcentral.
AGAGUUCGAUCAUGGCUCAGGAUGAACGCUGGCGGCGUGCCUAACACAUGCAAGUCGAACGAAGCACUUAAGCGGAUUUCUUCGGAUUGAAACUUUUGUGACUGAGUGGCGGACGGGUGAGUAACGCGUGGGUAACCUGCCUCAUACAGGGGGAUAACAGUUAGAAAUGACUGCUAAUACCGCAUAAGCGCACAGUACCGCAUGGUACAGUGUGAAAAGCCGAGACGGUAUGAGAUGGACCCGCGUCUGAUUAGCUGGUUGGUGGGGUAACGGCCCACCAAGGCGACGAUCAGUAGCCGACCUGAGAGGGUGACCGGCCACAUUGGGACUGAGACACGGCCCAA